GGACGCUCCGGGGGAUUUCCUUCGGGGAGUGGCGCACGGGUGAGUAGCGCGUGGGAACCUGUCCUUUUGUGGGGGAUAACCGAGGGAAACUUCGGCUAAUACCGCAUGCGCCCCCGGAGAGAUCCGGGGGGAAAGAUCUAUCGCAGAGGGAGGGGCCCGCGUCGGAUUAGGUUGUUGGUGGGGUAACGGCCUACCAAGCCGAUGAUCCGUAGCUGGUCUGAGAGGAUGAUCAGCCACACUGGGACUGAGACACGGCCCAGACUCCUACGGGAGGCAGCAGUGGGGAAUAUUGGACAAUGGGCGCAAGCCUGAUCCAGCAAUGCCGCGUGAGUGAAGAAGGCCUUCGGGUUGUAAAGCUCUUUGGGCGGGGACGAUGAUGACGGUACCCGCAGAACAAGCCCCGGCUAACUUCGUG
RNAcentral lists this ribosomal RNA (415 nucleotides) under uncultured bacterium. RNAcentral's name for it is "bacterial SSU rRNA". It matches the Rfam family "Bacterial small subunit ribosomal RNA", at positions 64 to 507 of the family's 1533-position model. The record is from RNAcentral.